RNAcentral lists this transfer RNA (89 nucleotides) under Elsinoe australis. Its description in RNAcentral is "tRNA-Ala". Lineage: Eukaryota; Fungi; Ascomycota; Dothideomycetes; Myriangiales; Elsinoaceae. The record is from RNAcentral.
UGGAUGCGCAGGGAUUUGAACCCUGGGCCUUUUCGAAUCACGAAUGAAAGGCAUGCAAACGAAAUGUGAUACCCCUACACCACGCACCC